GGGUUGUGAGGUUAAGCGACUAAGCGUACACGGUGGAUGCCUAGGCAGUCAGAGGCGAUGAAGGGCGUGCUAAUCUGCGAAAAGCGUCGGUAAGCUGAUAUGAAGCGUUACAACCGACGAUACCCGAAUGGGGAAACCCAGUGCAAUUCGUUGCACUAUUGCAUGGUGAAUACAUAGCCAUGCAAGGCGAACCGGGGGAACUGAAACAUCUAAGUACCCCGAGGAAAAGAAAUCAACCGAGAUUCCCCCAGUAGCGGCGAGCGAACGGGGAAGAGCCCAGAGUCUGAAUCAGUUUAUGUGUUAGUGGAAGCGUCUGGAAAGUCGCACGGUACAGGGUGAUAGUCCCGUACACAAAAAUGCAUAUUCUGUGAACUCGAUGAGUAGGGCGGGACACGUGACAUCCUGUCUGAAUAUGGGGGGACCAUCCUCCAAGGCUAAAUACUCCUGACUGACCGAUAGUGAACCAGUACCGUGAGGGAAAGGCGAAAAGAACCCCGGCGAGGGGAGUGAAAUAGAACCUGAAACCGUGUACGUACAAGCAGUGGGAGCACCUUCGUGGUGUGACUGCGUACCUUUUGUAUAAUGGGUCAGCGACUUAUAUUUUGUAGCAAGGUUAACCGAAUAGGGGAGCCGUAGGGAAACCGAGUCUUAACUGGGCGUCUAGUUGCAAGGUAUAGACCCGAAACCCGGUGAUCUAGCCAUGGGCAGGUUGAAGGUUGGGUAACACUAACUGGAGGACCGAACCGACUAAUGUUGAAAAAUUAGCGGAUGACUUGUGGCUGGGGGUGAAAGGCCAAUCAAACCGGGAGAUAGCUGGUUCUCCCCGAAAGCUAUUUAGGUAGCGCCUCGUGAACUCAUCUUCGGGGGUAGAGCACUGUUUCGGCUAGGGGGUCAUCCCGACUUACCAAACCGAUGCAAACUCCGAAUACCGAAGAAUGUUAUCACGGGAGACACACGGCGGGUGCUAACGUCCGUCGUGAAGAGGGAAACAACCCAGACCGCCAGCUAAGGUCCCAAAGUCAUGGUUAAGUGGGAAACGAUGUGGGAAGGCACAGACAGCCAGGAUGUUGGCUUAGAAGCAGCCAUCAUUUAAAGAAAGCGUAAUAGCUCACUGGUCGAGUCGGCCUGCGCGGAAGAUGUAACGGGGCUAAACCAUGCACCGAAGCUGCGGCAGCGACACUUAGGUGUUGUUGGGUAGGGGAGCGUUCUGUAAGCCGUUGAAGGUGACCUGUGAGGGUUGCUGGAGGUAUCAGAAGUGCGAAUGCUGACAUAAGUAACGAUAAUGCGGGUGAAAAACCCGCACGCCGGAAGACCAAGGGUUCCUGUCCAACGUUAAUCGGGGCAGGGUGAGUCGACCCCUAAGGCGAGGCUGAAAAGCGUAGUCGAUGGGAAACAGGUUAAUAUUCCUGUACUUGGUGUUACUGCGAAGGGGGGACGGAGAAGGCUAGGCUAUCCGGGCGACGGUUGUCCCGGUUUAAGCAUGUAGGCGGAGUGACCAGGUAAAUCCGGUUGCUUAUCAACGCUGAGGUGUGAUGACGAGCCACUACGGUGGUGAAGUAGUUGAUGCCAAGCUUCCAGGAAAAGCCUCUAAGCAUCAGGUAACAUUAAAUCGUACCCCAAACCGACACAGGUGGUCAGGUAGAGAAUACUCAGGCGCUUGAGAGAACUCGGGUGAAGGAACUAGGCAAAAUGGUGCCGUAACUUCGGGAGAAGGCACGCUGGCGGUAGGUGAAGAGACUUGCUCUCGGAGCUGAAGCCAGUCGCAGAUACCAGCUGGCUGCAACUGUUUAAUAAAAACACAGCACUGUGCAAACACGAAAGUGGACGUAUACGGUGUGACGCCUGCCCGGUGCUGGAAGGUUAAUUGAUGGGGUCAGCCGCAAGGCGAAGCUCUUGAUCGAAGCCCCAGUAAACGGCGGCCGUAACUAUAACGGUCCUAAGGUAGCGAAAUUCCUUGUCGGGUAAGUUCCGACCUGCACGAAUGGCGUAAUGAUGGCCAGGCUGUCUCCACCCGAGACUCAGUGAAAUUGAACUCGCUGUGAAGAUGCAGUGUACCCGCGGCAAGACGGAAAGACCCCGUGAACCUUUACUAUAGCUUGACACUGAACAUUGAGCCUUGAUGUGUAGGAUAGGUGGGAGGCAUUGAAGUGUGGACGCCAGUCUGCAUGGAGCCAACCUUGAAAUACCACCCUUUAAUGUUUGAUGUUCUAACUCGGCCCCAUAAUCUGGGGUGAGGACAGUGUCUGGUGGGUAGUUUGACUGGGGCGGUCUCCUCCCAAAGAGUAACGGAGGAGCACGAAGGUUAGCUAAUCACGGUCGGACAUCGUGAGGUUAGUGCAAAGGCAUAAGCUAGCUUGACUGCGAGAGUGACGGCUCGAGCAGGUACGAAAGUAGGUCUUAGUGAUCCGGUGGUUCUGAAUGGAAGGGCCAUCGCUCAACGGAUAAAAGGUACUCCGGGGAUAACAGGCUGAUACCGCCCAAGAGUUCAUAUCGACGGCGGUGUUUGGCACCUCGAUGUCGGCUCAUCACAUCCUGGGGCUGAAGUAGGUCCCAAGGGUAUGGCUGUUCGCCAUUUAAAGUGGUACGCGAGCUGGGUUUAGAACGUCGUGAGACAGUUCGGUCCCUAUCUGCCGUGGGCGUUGGAAGAUUGAGAGGGGCUGCUCCUAGUACGAGAGGACCGGAGUGGACGAAUCACUGGUGUUCGGGUUGUCAUGCCAAUGGCAUUGCCCGGUAGCUAAAUUCGGAAGAGAUAACCGCUGAAAGCAUCUAAGCGGGAAACUUGCCUCGAGAUGAGUCUUCCCUGGGGCUUUAAGCCCCCUGAAGGAACGUUAAAGACUAUGACGUUGAUAGGCUGGGUGUGUAAGUGCAGCGAUGCAUUGAGCUAACCAGUACUAAUGAUCCGUGAGGCUUAACCUUACAACACCAAAGGUGUUUUG
This 2936-nucleotide ribosomal RNA is filed under the name Yersinia bercovieri ATCC 43970. RNAcentral describes it as "23S ribosomal RNA". It matches the Rfam family "Bacterial large subunit ribosomal RNA". The record is from RNAcentral. Lineage: Bacteria; Pseudomonadati; Pseudomonadota; Gammaproteobacteria; Enterobacterales; Yersiniaceae.